AACGAACGCUGGCGGCAUGCCUAACACAUGCAAGUCGAACGAGACCUUCGGGUCUAGUGGCGCACGGGUGCGUAACGCGUGGGAACCUGCCCUUAGGUUCGGAAUAACUCCCCGAAAGGGGUGCUAAUACCGGAUAAUGUCUUCGGACCAAAGAUUUAUCGCCUUUGGAUGGGCCCGCGUUGGAUUAGCUAGUUGGUAGGGUAAAAGCCUACCAAGGCGACGAUCCAUAGCUGGUCUGAGAGGAUGGUCAGCCACACUGGGACUGAGACACGGCCCAGAAUCUUACGGGAGGGAGGAGAGGGGGAUAGUGGAACACGGGGGGAAGGCUGAACCAGCACGGCCGCGUGAGUGAUGUAGGCCUUAGGGUUGUAAAGCUCUUUUAACCGGGAUGAUAAUGACAGUACCGGGAGAAUAAGCUCCGGCUAACUCCGUG
RNAcentral lists this ribosomal RNA (433 nucleotides) under uncultured bacterium. RNAcentral describes it as "partial 16S ribosomal RNA". It matches the Rfam family "Bacterial small subunit ribosomal RNA", at positions 29 to 507 of the family's 1533-position model. The record is from RNAcentral.